AACACUUACAAAUGUGUUUCUGACUAAAAAUGAAAACAGGCAUCUAAAAGCCAGUUUGGAAAGCUGAGAAAAUCAGCUUCACCGUCUUCCAAGUCUCAUACCAUUUUUCUCCUUCUCCUCUCUCUCUCCAUCAUGCAAAAGGGUACAGAUGGAAGACCAGGACUAUGGUUCCUUCCAAACUGCAGGACACAAGAACACUCCAACCCAGGAGUCUCUGCUAGCCAAGAGCUACCACCAUAGGCCAGACACUGGACAGGCAGGAGUUGAUCUUCACCUGGCAGUGCAUCUACAUUCUCAGGAAAUCAGCCCUCAAGUUUGUGGCACGUCAAACAGAAAAGGACAGAUCAGGUACUUUCAAUAAAAUAAGCCUUCCACGGCAAUUAGACUACAUACAGGCCAGAUUUGCUGCUAGAGACAUGGAGAAGUUACAGACAUUGUGACAAUCAGAGCUGGCCAACAAGUUGCAAUCCAUAACCUCCCUCUUCUCAUGGGUACCCAAACGGAGGCCUACAAUAUCAGUCAUUUCACUGUCUCGACAGAAAUUAUUUUCAGACUGUUAUCAUUAUUUUACUUCAAUUGUGCUCCAAUUCACUGGUUAUAUGAGAAAUAACACCAGUGGCAUUUAAUGUUCUCAGACUUCAGAAAUUAAAUUAUGCUUUAAACCAAGAGUCUGCAAACUUUCUUAAUGUAACCAGCAAGUUAAUAUUUUAGGUUGUAUGAUCUAUAGACUAUCAUAUAAUUUUCUCCUUAUAUUUAUUUAACAAUCCUCCUAAAAUGCAAUCCUAUUUUUAGUACUUAGGUGGUACAAAACUAAUAAACCAUCUUGGUUGUAAGCAGUAAUAAUUGUGAACUCAAAGUAUUGAGAAAGGCAGUUAUGCACAACUUGAAUCAGGCUUUCAUUUAAAACAAGUCACAGUACAGGGAAAGAUCAACACUGGAAGCCAGGAAACAGGACACAUGUCUGACUUCCCAGCUAUGUCUGAAGCACAAAUUGGAGAAAUGAGAUUCAGGCCAAUCUGUACAUAACUGUGAGACCUAACAUGAAAAAUAACUAAUUCAAAAUAAAUGGGGGCAUGGUUCAAGUGGUAAAGCAUCUGCCUGGCAAAAAAUAGUUAAUAAAUUAAUUAUUGAUGAAUUAGUGGGUUGAUCAACUAGUUACAACUCAACAAGCUUCCUUCUCCUUCUGAAGUAGAAACACUAGGUACUAGAAAAAGACAAAGAAUGUGCCCUAUUUUUCAUAGGGGAAAAAAAUUCUGCCCAGAUCUUUUUUCUUUGCCUCUAGGUGGUCAAGAAUAAAUGAUGCUUAACGAGAACUAAUGAAGUGUCACAAUAUACAUGUUUAUGGUGACAUUUAAAAGCUUAGAUUUGUGUAGCACAAGUUGCUAAAACACAGAUUUGUGCAACUUCUAAAACUAUAUACAAAUAUGUACAAAGUCAAAAGGCCAAAACUGGCUAGAAUAAAAUCCAGCAAUCCAGUCACAAGGGAUAUAUUAUUAAAAACAACUUUUUCUUUUAGUAUUUCUGUACUGUAAUAAGAAACUACCAGAAUUGGGGACAGAUAAUGGCAUGGAAAUGCCAUACUUGCUGGAAUUGGUGUUUCUGCCCCACAAGGCAGUACAGUUCUUUGUCCCUGAGAUAAUAGGCCUCUCUCAUGAGGUAGCUGCAUUGUUACCAGGCAACAAGAAAUAAAAUGUCAAGAUUAGCACUUUGCUUAAUAUAUUUUUAUCAUCGAUGAACCAUUUUUCUAUUUUGUUCUUCUUCUCCAUACAGAUGUCAUUAAGCCAAGAUUUACAUUUAGUAAUCUACAGGAGUAUGCCAAAAACUGUAAUUAAGUAAACACCAAGCAUUCACCAACUUUAUCGUUAUAGAUCUAUUAACAUUAUACUAAUUCCAUUAUUGAAGAUUUUUAAAAAUUUUUACCAAACUACUUAAUUACAAUAUUUCUUCAUUUAUAUCAAACAAAUCUAAAAUUCCAUUCAAAUUCAAGGAAAUCAAUGCUCUUUAAAUACUUCAAUACUUGGGAACAAAUAGCAUCAAUCAGUUCAUCUAGUGGAGUUAUAUGAUAUUCAAAUGUUUUCUACCAAAGCAUUUGAUACCUGGCCAAGCUUGAAGGAUAGAAUUUACAGAUACCCCUUUGGGUUUAGUAAUCAGUAGGAAAAACAAAGGAAAUAUAAGAGCUUAAAUGAAAUCUUAUAAAUGAAAAGUUGUAAAGGAAAAAACAUAAAGAUGCUAUACAAUUCAACAGGUUUAAAAACCAAUAAAUGAUACAUAUUUUCUUUUAUAUGUGGAAGUUAGCUCCAAUUUAUAAAUAUGUAUCUACACGUAAGCACAUAUACAAGCCCUA
Perognathus longimembris pacificus (Pacific pocket mouse) is the source of this 2344-nucleotide long non-coding RNA. RefSeq lists it as uncharacterized. The transcript is spliced from 3 exons. Lineage: Eukaryota; Metazoa; Chordata; Mammalia; Rodentia; Heteromyidae. The record is from RefSeq and is a predicted model, not a curated record.